This 754-nucleotide ribosomal RNA is filed under the name uncultured bacterium. Its description in RNAcentral is "bacterial SSU rRNA". It matches the Rfam family "Bacterial small subunit ribosomal RNA", at positions 585 to 1332 of the family's 1533-position model. The record is from RNAcentral.
AAGCAAGAUGUGAAAGCCCCGGGCUCAACCUGGGAAUGGUAUUUUGAACUGGCAAGCUCGAGUUCUGAAGAGGGUGGUAGAAUUUCCUGUGUAGCGGUGAAAUGCGUAGAUAUAGGAAGGAAUACCGGUGGCGAAGGCGGACAGCUGGCUCAGAAACUGACGCUGAGGUAAGAAAGCGUGGGGAGCAAACAGGAUUAGAUAGCCAGGGUAGUCCACGCAGUACACGAUGUCAACUAGUUGUUCGUCUUUAUAAACAAGGGUGAGUAACGCAGCUAACGCACUAAGUUGACCGCCUGGGGAGUACGGCCGCAAGGUUAAAACUCAAAUGAAUUGACGGGGGCCCGCACAAGCGGUGGAGCAUGUGGUUUAAUUCGAUGCAACGCGAAGAACCUUACCAUCCCUUGACAUCCAGUGAACUUUCUAGAGAUAGACUUGGUGCCUUCGGGAACACUGAGACAGGUGCUGCAUGGCUGUCGUCAGCUCGUGUUGUGAGAUGUUGGGUUAAGUCCCGCAACGAGCGCAACCCUUAUCCUCAGUUGCCAGCACAUAAUGGUGGGAACUCUGUGGAGACUGCCGGUGAUAAACCGGAGGAAGGUGGGGACGACGUCAAGUCAUCAUGGCCCUUACGGGAUGGGCUACACACGUGCUACAAUGGCGCGUACAAUGGGAAGCAAGCUAGCGAUAGUAAGCGGAUCUCAAAAAGCGCGUCGUAGUCCGGAUCGGAGUCUGCAACUCGACUCCGUGAAGUCGGAAU